This 1180-nucleotide long non-coding RNA is filed under the name Homo sapiens (human). Its description in RNAcentral is "non-protein coding lnc-TFAP2A-9:1". The record is from RNAcentral. Lineage: Eukaryota; Metazoa; Chordata; Mammalia; Primates; Hominidae.
AAAAAGAAGGAGCUGCCUAGCUCCUUCUAAAUUGGCCUAAUUCAUAUAUUACAGCUGCCAGUUAGAUUGCUAAUACCUACAAUAUGUGUUCUUGUUCUCCUUUGUUUUGUUAUACUAUGUUGGUAUUAGAAGAAAAACUAUAAUUUUUUCCAAUAUUAUGGUCUUAUUAGAACACUAGAAUGAAGCAGAUAACCAUCUGUUAAUAGUGUUAAUAGUGUGUGUUUGCUUUUAUAUGUGUAUAUCUAUAUCUGGUUCAAUUCUUGGCUACAUUAUUUAAAUUUUAUCUCCCUCUACUUGUUUGAAAGUAUGAAUUCUAGCAUAUAACCACAGUUUCCUCUCUAUUAUGGUAAAUAGGUCAUUUGUGAUCUGAACUAGACCCAUCUUGACCAUCAGCCAUUUCUAGAUUACCAUGUAAUUAUCAGCCACCUUACAUAGAGUUAGCUGAGAAUGGCUGGUACGGCCUGCUUGUAGGAUCUAUGAUCAGUAGCCUGCAGGUGAAUUUGUAGCUGGUUUCUACGGAUUAUCUCACUAGGGUUUGGGAAAGUCUUGGAGAUAAUAGAUCUGUGAUUGCUUUUUCUUUGAGUUCAGUCUCAGAUUCUCUGCAGUGGAGUUACGCGAGUCUGAUUUUGUCUGGGCCAUCUUUGAUAUCCUUGCUGGGGUCAGAAUGAACCAAAAUGCAUACCUAAGGAGCAUCUCCUGAAUACAUUUCUUGUUAAUGUUUUAUAUUAUCUGUCAACUGACCAGUGAGACUGCAAAAGGAAAACUAGGAGUUUCUGAUAUUCGCUUUUUUUUUUUUUUUCAUGGAGAGAAUUAACAGAUUGGCUACACCUCUUGACAAGAGGAAGGUUUUUGGAAUGAAAGUGAGGUCCAAGUCCUAGAUUGGCAGAGAGAAUCUGCUAAUCAUAGCAUCAUAUCUGCUGAUCUGCUGAAUAAGAUCAGCAGAUGAAAGAAAUAAAACUUAGCAGGAGGCAACUUGUGUACAACAAACAGGUGCACUAUUGUAGGUACACUGAAUUGGGUUAUUCACUGAGGAUCUGAAUUAUGUUAGCAGUCAUAUUGCUGUUGAUUUAAGAGACACAAUUGUCAUGAAAGAAGAAAUGGUCGUUGUAGUAAACAAUCUGAAGCCACAAUAGAAUUGGCUGUAAAUUUUCUGUUGUCAGUGAACAAAGCAAGUAUGAUU